CAACUGAGUAACAUGCUUUUCAAAAGUGUUUUUCUAUGUUUCAGAGACAGAAAAGGGGAGACAAAGAAGAAGAAAAAGGAGGGGAAAAGGUAAAAGAAAGGAAGAGAAUGAAUUGCAGCUGAGGAAGUGGAAGAGCGAGAAGCGCUUCCAGAUUCCAGGGACUUAUACCAUCAGAGUUCCUGGUUCUCAGGCCUUCGGACUCAAACCAGAGUUUACAACACUGGCUUUCCUGGGUCUCUCCUUCUCAGCUUCUCCAAGUUUCUCAAACUAAAGCCCGACUUUGGAUAGGUGAUACCAGGAAACAUGAAGAAGGCAAUGAGGAGAGUGAAGCAGUAGAGAAGCCCAGCCAGGGAAGGAGACAGGAGCAAGAUUCCAAUCUGAGCGAAGAGGCACCGCAUUCCACACCCUCAGAAGACUGGCUGGUCUUUAUUCUGUGGCUGGCUCCUCCCUUGGUGAUUGUGCAUGCAUGCCACCUUCCCAACAUCAGCCUUUUUCCUCUUCUGGGAGAUCCCAGAUUUUUUUUUUUCUUAUUGUAAAGACAAUAUAUGUUCAUUUUAAGAAUUUGUAAAAUAAAGAGAAUAAUACAUAAAAAUUAAAAUUAUCACUAAUUCUGCUAUUUUGAAAAAUCUCUGAUGAGCAUAUAUAUAUAUUUGACAUAUACUUGUGUAUAUCUUUAAGAUAUAUCUGUGUAUAUGCAUGUGUGUAAA
RNAcentral lists this long non-coding RNA (707 nucleotides) under Papio anubis (olive baboon). RNAcentral's name for it is "lncRNA (ENSPANG00000047758.1)". The record is from RNAcentral. Lineage: Eukaryota; Metazoa; Chordata; Mammalia; Primates; Cercopithecidae.